RNAcentral lists this long non-coding RNA (975 nucleotides) under Capra hircus (goat). RNAcentral describes it as "lncRNA (ENSCHIG00000001818.1)". The record is from RNAcentral. Lineage: Eukaryota; Metazoa; Chordata; Mammalia; Artiodactyla; Bovidae.
AAGUAGGUCAGCAUCUAGCCUGGCUCAGCAUUUGGCAAUCCACUGGCCAGAUGCUGUCACACAGCUUGGCUUCUUCCUGCCAACAGCUGGGUUAGGCUUCACAAUCACCUGAGUCAGCCCUGUAGGUUCUGCAGCUCUGGAUAGCUGUGACAAAGCUGCUUCAACCUGUGGGGUUUUUCCGCUUGAGUCUUCUGAACCUGGCAUCCACGGAGAUAAACACAUCAAAAUGAGGGUGUGAGAAUCUGGACCAACAUGGACUUGGGACAGGAUUUUGUCUGAGACGUUCACAACCUAAGAGGAAAAAAUAUAUCCAUGGAUUGUUAGGUAAGUCUUAAACUAUAAUUAUUUCUAAGAAUUAUAAGAAGCUAAUUCUUACCUGAAGAAAUGUUGAUCAAAUCUGCUUCCCAUGAACUUAAGCAAAAAAAAAAAAAAAAAAAAAAAAAAUCUGUUCAUAAGAUAGCAAAACAAGCAAACAAGUUAUAUGUGAGGGAAGAAAAGCAAUAGAUAAACAUAUGCAAAGCUUAUUCACUGCUAAGCACUUAACACACUUUGGUUUAAUUCUCGGAACCAUCUGGUAAGGUUAGUAAAUAUUAUCCCCAUUUUACAGAUGAAGAACUUCGGCUCAGAGAGUUUCAGCGUAUUUGUAAAGUUCAGGAUCUUAUCUAAAGUUUUCAAAAUAAGAAUGAUGUCUUCACACUUAAUGAAACAACCCUUCAUGGCUGGUCAAGAGGACUCAGGAGGUCGACUCUCCAGGCCCCUGGCAGUGCAGUGUGCUAGCAAUCCCUCCCGGCUGAACUGGCUCUGUGUUUAUCCCAUCCUUUGGAUCAUUAAUAAUGACGGUAAAUAAAGCCCAACCUAGGAAGCUAGUUCUUUUAAUCUGACAGGUACUCAAGAAGUAGUCACACCUCAAAAUGAAGAAAUACCCACAGCCAGAACUCCCUAAGUUUCCCAUGUAAUAACUGAGCUAUUCAGCAC